CCAAAUCCUGACCCUCACUGGCUCCAGGCUCGUGGACGUCUAUGUCGCUUUUCCCUGAGCCUAUCGCGGUGCCGCCGAGUCGUUGCCUAGGUGAUUAGACUGGACGCACCGCAUCACGGCUCACGCGACUUGAACUACACUACCCAGAACUUCCCUCACUGUGCGUUCACACCAGUAUUGACCAAUGAUAGCCCAGGAAAUAGGCGUUUCCGGGACGGCCACGCCUUGGAGGGCGGGACUUCCGGAUUCAGAUGGUUGCUUCUCUGUCGGUCGCGGGCGGAUGGACCUAGUUGUUGGACCGUGGUUGGUGUCCAGGGGGCUCCUCAGGCCCGCGGAAACGGGAGUGGCAGCGGAUGGGACCACCAAAUGUGGACCCCACCAUCCCUGCCCACGUUCUGGGCCCCGCCUCGGUGGAAACCAGCAGAUGAUGAGGGCAGGUGCCCCCAGGCUCACCUGCAGUGUCGCUUGUGCCCCUGAGAUCCUGGCUGCAGACCUCUAAGCCCCAGGGCUCCUGCCUUGCAGUGAUGGCCUUGCCAGAAGCAAGCCCAGGGAGGCCGAGGAGGCCGCCUGCUUGCAGACUGUCGUCCGGCUGUGAGCAGCACGCCGCGGCUCACACCUGCUCUGCACCCACUCUCAGGACAAGCUGUGCCUCUGCGCCCUGAGGCUGGACAGCCAUGAAGGUCAUGACUGCUGAAGUCACCAGCAACCCAGCUUGGGCAACAGGAGCCUCCCUGGCUUUUGCUGGUGGGGUGACAGCUCUCAGGAAUAUGGCUCAGAAGACUGCAGGAUUCAGGACAACUUCAGCUGCUCAGUGACCUUAUGCGUGGUGUUAAUAGAUAUGAGUUUGGCCCCUGUAGAUCUCACAGCCUGUGCCCUUGCGUACUGGGCUCUGGCGUCCCCUGUUGCCUGUUCCCUGUGCCCCACCAUUCCCCAUCUACGUAGAGGGGACCUGCCCCUGUCUGCCUGGAGUGGUGAUUACAGGGAUCUGGUUUUUCUGGCCUGGCACAGAAAGAUGGCUCAUCUCCAGCUGGUGGCCACACGAAGCUGCGCUGGUUUGAGGGACCUGCUUCCUUAUUCUCAGACCGCUGUACCCCUCAAGUCCUAUGAUUCCACCUCAGAGUCUGGAGCAGUCGGAAGGGAGUUGCUCCCAGGACAUUCCAGUUGCCCCCAGCAGAGUGAGCCUGUUCAGGAAGCAGGGAAGCUCCCCUGGCACUGCCAGCAGACCCUCCAUGGGGCCCUCGGCCAGAGAGGGUCAGUUCCCAGCCCCUGUUUAGUUAGGGCCUAACAAGUUCUGACUCUGCCACCCCAUGUCCAUGGAAUUUUUCAGGCAGAACACUAGAGUGGGUUGCCAUUUCCUUCUCCAGGGGAUCUUCCUAACCCAGGGAUUGAAACAGUGCCUUCUGUACUGGCAGGCAGAUUCUUUACCACUGAGCCACCUGGGAAGCCCCAUAUCGUUCGUGUUCCAUAGCUAUGUCUUUCUUUUAAAGGUUCUGUUUAAAAGAACCUCUCUGUAUACAAUAUCGUAAAGUUAAAAAUUAAAAAUACAUAUAUUAAAAAAAACAACUUCUCUGUCCUGCUUCAGAGGGAUCAGCAUGUGCAGAGGCUUGGAGGAGGGUAUGCAGGACACCUGAAGUCCUUUACCACAAAGUCCCAAGGGAGAAGGAUUCAUGUUAGGCCUUUAUCCUGGGGGGGACGGGGUGGGGCAUGAGUUGGGGAGACAUGAUUGGAGGAGUGACUCGAUCUGACAAGAAUCCCUUUUGGGACUUCCCCAGUGGUCCAGUGGUUAAGCGCCCACCUUGUAGUGUGGGGGAUGCAAGUUUGAUCCUUGGAUGGGAAAAUACGACCCCUUGUGCCGAGAUGCAAAUAAGCCCGAGUGCCACAACUGCUGAGCCCACAUGCUCUGGAGCCCACAAGCCACAGGGAAAAUCCCCUAUGCCUCAAGUAAGACCUGACAUAGCCAAAUAAAUACAUUUAAAAAAAGAACAUCCGUUUGACAUCCACGUGGAGAAGGG
RNAcentral lists this long non-coding RNA (2012 nucleotides) under Bos grunniens (domestic yak). Its description in RNAcentral is "lncRNA (ENSBGRG00000017986.1)". Lineage: Eukaryota; Metazoa; Chordata; Mammalia; Artiodactyla; Bovidae. The record is from RNAcentral.